This is an RNA transcript of Drosophila nasuta, 973 nucleotides long. It is a transcript of the gene named venom protease-like, with no coding region annotated. The record is from RefSeq and is a predicted model, not a curated record. The transcript has 5 exons. Lineage: Eukaryota; Metazoa; Arthropoda; Insecta; Diptera; Drosophilidae.
UGCCUAAUAUUCUUUUUGUAUUAUCAUAUUCGUCUGUCCUUCCGGUUUAAAACCAGCUGGGAUCUUUCUAUUGUUACUUUUUAAAUGUUAAUACAUAUUUUCAUAAAUAUUUUUUCUUUUCUUAUCAUCGCCAAUUCAUGUUCUCAUGAUUCCCGAGGAGGUCAGCAGUGUUUCACGCCCGAACACCAUCUUGGGACUUGUGUGGCGCUCAGCCAUUGCCACCAGUUGACAGAAGUCUACAAUUUUAGAUACGAUCGCGUAGGUACACAAUAUGUGCUCGCCUUGCACCGCAGUUGUGGAACGCGGAGUGUCAACGGAGUACCAAUUGUAUGUUGUCCAAGACCAAGCACAACAACAACGACAACAAUACUUCCAAUACCAGAAGGGACCUCAACAACAACAACAACCACAACACCACAACCAACCUCAACAACCAGAAAACCAGAACAUACCUCAACCACAUCAAUCUCACCGCCUAUAGAUCUUCGGUUAAACAGUUGUCUAUUGUCACCCGGAGUGUAUGGCGAAUGCAUCGACAUCAAGAGAUGUCCCUCCAUAUUUAAUCAGCUAAAGGCUAAGGGAAACGAUCCUGAACUAGUCAAAUUUAUAAAAGCUUCGAAUUUACUUUGCGACAACGUCGGCCAAAAUGUCUGUUGUCCCACAGAGCCAGGUCCGCGUCGCUUGCCCACUGAAAAUGAGGGUUGUGGUGAACCAAACUUGGUCAGUUUUAGGAAAAUCGUAGGCGGCGAUGAGGCAAUGAAAGGUGCUUAUCCAUGGAUCGCACUGCUAGGAUAUGGUGAUAGUUCCCUUUCGAUCUUCAAAUGUGGCGGAAGUUUGAUUACGGCCAGACAUGGAUGACACAGGAUGGACACAGGAUGAUCUGUCGUUUGUGCGCCUCGGAGAGCACGAUCUUUCUACCGACACUGACACUUCGCACAUGGACAUCAACAUAGUCAAGAAGGUGUCCCAUUCC